Molecule: ribosomal RNA, 292 nt
Filed under: uncultured bacterium
Lineage: Bacteria
Also listed under: 1 other name
Description: partial 16S ribosomal RNA
Source: RNAcentral
GGACUACCCGGGUAUCUAAUCCUGUUUGCUCCCCACGCUCUCGCGCCUCAGUGUCAGUGUCAAUCCAGGUAGCCGCCUUCGCCACUGGUGUUCCUUCCGAUAUCUACGCAUUUCACCGCUACACCGGAAAUUCCACUACCCUCUAUUGCACUCCAGUUGCUCAGUAUAAGAUGCAGUUCCCAGGUUAAGCCCGGGGAUUUCACAUCUCACUUAAGCAACCACCUACGCGCCCUUUACGCCCAGUAAAUCCGAUUAACGCUUGCACCCUCUGUAUUACCGCGGCUGCUGGCAC